UACGGAGGGUGCAAGCGUUAAUCGGAAUUACUGGGCGUAAAGCGCGCGUAGGCGGCUGGAUAAGUCGAUUGUGAAAGCCCCGGGCUCAACCUGGGAAUUGCAGUCGAGACUGUUCGGCUAGAGUGUGGGAGAGGGCAGUGGAAUUCCCGGUGUAGCGGUGAAAUGCGUAGAUAUCGGGAGGAACAUCAGUGGCGAAGGCGGCGAUCUGGGUCGAUACUGACGCUGAGGUGCGAAAGCGUGGGGAGCAAACAGG
This 253-nucleotide ribosomal RNA is filed under the name uncultured bacterium. Its description in RNAcentral is "partial 16S ribosomal RNA". It matches the Rfam family "Bacterial small subunit ribosomal RNA", at positions 524 to 776 of the family's 1533-position model. The record is from RNAcentral.